GCUGUAGUGGCUUCGUCUUCGGUUUUUCUCUUCCUUCGCUAACGCCUCCCGGCUCUCGUCAGCCUCCCGCCGGCCGUCUCCUUAACACCGAACACCAUGCCUUCAAUUAAGUUGCAGAGUUCUGAUGGAGAGAUAUUUGAAGUUGAUGUGGAAAUUGCCAAACAAUCUGUGACUAUUAAGACCAUGUUGGAAGAUUUGGGAAUGGAUGAUGAAGGAGAUGAUGACCCAGUUCCUCUACCAAAUGUGAAUGCAGCAAUAUUAAAAAAGGUAAGGUCUUUAAAGAGUUUAAGUUUAUUCUGCUUAAUAUAUAACACCAAUUGAUUAAUACAAGUAAUUCAACAAUCUAUGUUAGAAUUUUAUAAUUUACUGCUUAAAAUUACAUUUAAAUUUGAAUGUUCUUAAACACUUACUUGAGUGAUGUUUGUAUGUUCUUAAAAUAUACAGAAAAAAGUUCUGUCUGCUUUCUUGCCACAGUUGACUAUUGUCAUUUAUUGGGCAUCUGUACUGUGUCUACCUAUGCAAACACUUCCCUAGGAAGGAUGAUCUACAUGUAGAAUAUCUGGAUCGCAGGUCAUUCAGUGGUGCACCCACCACAAGGAUGACCCUCCUCCUCCUGAAGAUGAUGAGAACAAAGAAAAGCGAACAGAUGAUAUCCCUGUUUGGGACCAAGAAUUCCUGAAAGUUGACCAAGGAACACUUUUUGAACUCAUUCUGGCUGCAAACUACUUAGACAUCAAAGGUUUGCUUGAUGUUACAUGCAAGACUGUUGCCAAUAUGAUCAAGGGGAAAACUCCUGAGGAGAUUCGCAAGACCUUCAAUAUCAAAAAUGACUUUACUGAAGAGGAGGAAGCCCAGGUAGGUAGCACACAGUUUUGUCUUUGAUCACAUGCUCUUAAAAAGGGAGUAACACCUAUAACAUGCCAGCAAAAGAGGUGACUGUAUCAAGUAGUCUUGAUACUUUAGGGAUAAUAUGUACUUAAUGUGUCUUAAACAUACUCUUACUGUUCUGUCUUUAUGAAUCUGAACACUUAGAUGAUACUGCAUUUUAAGCAUAAGAACAAUUAGUUUUCAAUGAGAAGAGCUCUUGUUAAUGUAUUAACAGUUACUAGUUUUGGCACCUGCAACUUUCUGUAUAGACCAUACAUAUCUGACAUCAGAAAAGCAGGCCCUAGAGAGAAGUAUAUACUAGGGUACUUUAGAGCAACUUAAUGAGGGGAGGAAAUGAAAGAAUAGAUCAGAAUGAUUUUGUUGACAUGACUACAGACUGAAAUAAUGUGAAUGAAUUAACUGAAUUUGCUCUGUCAACUUUAGUAAAUUGCCCAUUGCCUUUGCUUUGUUCAUAAUUUCAGCAGGGCAGAAUAAAAACCAUGGGAGGCAAAGAAAGGAAAUCCGGAAAUAUAGUCUUAACCUGGUGUUGUUCUAAUUUUCCAUCUGUUCUUCUGACUCAACUCACUGGCUAUCGAUGAAUCAGUAGGUAGUAUUUAUAAGUCUUAGGAAAGACUACUCAAGUUAAGGUACUUCCCUAUAUCCAUCUCUUUUAGGUACGCAAAGAGAACCAGUGGUGUGAAGAGAAGUGAAAUGUUGUGCCUGACACUGUAACACUGUAAGGAUUGUUCCAAAUACUAGUUGCACUGCUCUGUUUAUAAUUGUUAAUAUUAGACAAACAGUAGACAAAUGCAGCAGCAAGUCAAUUGUAUUAGCAGAAUAUUGUCCUCAUUGCAUGUGUAGUUUGAGCACAGAUCCCAAACCUUACGGCCAAGUUUCUUCUAGUAUGAUGGAAAGUUUCUUUUUUCUUUGCUCUGAAUAAAACUGAACUGUGGGUUCUCUAUAAGUGGC
This 1836-nucleotide long non-coding RNA is filed under the name Homo sapiens (human). RNAcentral's name for it is "HSALNT0094617". Lineage: Eukaryota; Metazoa; Chordata; Mammalia; Primates; Hominidae. The record is from RNAcentral.